UGGGGAAUUUUGGACAAUGGGCGAAAGCCUGAUCCAGCAAUGCCGCGUGUGUGAAGAAGGCCUUCGGGUUGUAAAGCACUUUUGUCCGGAAAGAAAUCCUUGGCUCUAAUACAGUCGGGGGAUGACGGUACCGGAAGAAUAAGCACCGGCUAACUACGUGCCAGCAGCCGCGGUAAUACGUAGGGUGCAAGCGUUAAUCGGAAUUACUGGGCGUAAAGCGUGCGCAGGCGGUUUGCUAAGACCGAUGUGAAAUCCCCGGGCUCAACCUGGGAACUGCAUUGGUGACUGGGCAGGCUAGAGUAUGGCAGAGGGGGGUUAGAAUUCCACGUGUAGCAGUGAAAUGCGUAGAGAUGUGGAGGAAUACCGAUGGCGAAGGCAGCCCCCUGGGGCCAAUACUGACGCUCAUGCACGAAAGCGUGGGGAGCAAACAGGAUUAGAUACCCUGGUAGUCCACGCCCUAAACGAUGUCAACUAGUUGUUGGGGAUUCAUUCCUUAGUAACGUAGCUAACGCGUGAAGUUGACCGCCUGGGGAGUACGGUCGCAAGAUUAAAACUCAAAUGAAUUGACGGGGUCAUA
RNAcentral lists this ribosomal RNA (577 nucleotides) under uncultured bacterium. RNAcentral's name for it is "partial 16S ribosomal RNA". It matches the Rfam family "Bacterial small subunit ribosomal RNA", at positions 355 to 923 of the family's 1533-position model. The record is from RNAcentral.